AACGGUGUUGGAGAUCGGAGCAAUCAGGUUGCCGGGUGACUUGGACAUCGAGGAAAGCUAGGGUGCUCUGUUCUUGCUCCAUGGUGAACUUGAUGAGUGGGUGCUACUGGUUGAUGUGGUUGAGGAAGAUGUGGAGUUGCUCCGUACUGUGCGGCCAAACUACGAACGCGUCGUCUACGUAGCGUAGCGGCAUAUAUCGGGCUUGAAGUCUGAUGGUGAUGAGUUCAAACACCUCCAUGAACAAAUCCACCAGGACCGGGGAUAGAGGUCAUCCCAUGGCGGCCAGACUGGAUUAUUCAUAGAAGUGAUUCAUCCACUGGAAACAAGUGGAGGAGACGCAGGUGUGGAGGAGGUCGUGGAUCUGUUCCGGGGGUGCUGGAGACGUUCUUGGGCAAUGAAGCAGUGCUUCAUCGGUGGGGAGGGACGUUGGUGAAUAGGGAUGCCACAUCGAAGCGGACGAGGAUGUCCGUUGAUUGGCUUGAGCUUGAUGGUCUUGAUGGUGGAUGGAGUUGGUGAUGUGGUGUCUUGUGUGGCCGACUAGACAAAUGGUUUAGCCUCGCAAGGUUUCAAGGACCAGGCCGAGAGAAACAAAGAAAAAGUCACCAGUUGGUUUGACAAGAACCACAUCAUUGAGUCGGAACUGCGUGCAUGUGACAGGCUGGAAUUCAGUAGGUUGUUCUACAAUCACUGGGGCAUGUUCCUCGGCAAACUGGGAGACAGAGUGCUAGUUCUGCACUUUUCCACCGCCGGAAGUGGAAAGAAAUACUCGAUAAAGAAGACCUCUGGUCUCGGAUCUUCGGCGAUGGAUAAACCAGCCUACCGCAUCGACUCGAUUAAGAAACCUCUCAGUAACCGUAGAAUGAGGAUCAACAACAGACUAGUCAGUGCCGGAUAAAAUCCUCGAUGGCAUCGUUCAUCGACUUGCUUCGCAAGGUUUCCAAAGAUCACCAGAGUACGAUGCUUUGCAUAACAAUUGCGAGCAUUUAGUCAACGAACUUCGGUACGAAAAGCACCGCUGUGAACAACUACCACCAAUCUUGGGACCACUUGCGAAGAGGCUUAAUCGCAUUCUUUGUCAAAGCUAAGAGAGCAAAAUGUGAGAUGACGACCUACUGCGGAGCAGUGCAGACUACGUCAGAUAUCAGGCUACAUUGUUUUUUUUCAGUGACGGUGGAAUGUCCACCCAAAUUUGCUCAGAUAUGAGACAUAUCCAGAAUUUUCGCUGGUCCCAGAGGGGCAAGCUUGUAGUCCUAUUUGCACCAGAACCCCCCAUGGGAUUGUUAAAAAGCAACUUCAGGAAUCAUCUGAUCGCUGUUUAUGUGGCAUCCCAUAGCUUCUCUGUUCAUGCUUUCAUGUUUGUCUUCUCGCGAGUUGCUCUUUAUAAUGUAGAUUAGUGUUUCCUCGAUGCUAGUUGUUGUCUCUUUCAUAGUACUAUUUGUGUUAUUUGCCCUGUUCUGUCUUUGUCCUGUACUUGUCUUUACUGCCUGAGGUCCAGUUUUUGUCCUUUGCAAGGCUUUCCACACUGUUCUUUUCGAAAUAUACAUCUAUUCAACCCUGUCCAGUGGCGUAAGUCUGUGCCGGGGACUGGAAAGGGCGGAGGGGGUGGGGGAACGAGGGUUGACUAAAAUCAGGACAUUGCCCAGCCGUCCAAAUUCGAAAAGCGGGGGCGUAGGGCUUGUUGGACACCAUUAUGACAAUAGGGGGCACUGUUCAUGUUACAGAUGGGCAUGUUAUGUUUACUUAGAGUGCACACCGGCAGAUAGUGAUAAAUCCAUCCGCCAAACAUAUAUAAAAGUAAAACCUCAUAUUAGACAGUUCUGAUAGCCAUAACAUUGGGGAAUUGAAAAGAUAUGGCAAUGAAACUCUGGCUCGGACAUGGGGCUUUCAAUUCUGAGCAUUUUGGAUGCAAUUGGGCUCGAAAAUGGCGCUAUGUUGUCUUCUUGUGGAGGGAUCUUUUUCAAGAUCGCUACCUUUCCGCUUUCGGGAAAAUAGGGGUCGUCUUGUUUGGGUGAAAAUUUCUCGAGCAGUCAAUGGUCAAUCCACCCAAAAAUGAAAAGAAAAUGAAAGAUGACAUGUUGAUCAUCAUUUGUCUGUGCAGCUUAAAUUACCUGUAAGAGUUCUGAGUAUUUCAGAAUAAUUUUGAAGUAAGGGCAUUUAGCACUAAAAGUGUCUAUGGAAAUUUUGCGUGGUUGUACCCUUACGCCCAUCAAAAUGGCGCAUUUAAAGCUUUUGGACUUUCUCUCUUUUUCAGUACUAUUGAAAGCGUUGGGAAGUUCAUCAAAAUACAUCAAAAUCCGUUGGUUUUUUUGUAUCUCACUACAAAAAAGUGGGGGGGGGGGGUAGGCGGAUGAUCCAAUAACCCAUCCCCCUCGUCAA
Molecule: unclassified non-coding RNA, 2376 nt
Filed under: Patiria miniata (bat star)
Lineage: Eukaryota; Metazoa; Echinodermata; Asteroidea; Valvatida; Asterinidae
Description: uncharacterized LOC119725807, transcript variant X1
Source: RNAcentral